GUCCAUGCCGUAAACGUUGGGCGCUAGGUGUGGGGCCCUAUCCACGGGUUCCGUGCCGCAGCUAACGCAUUAAGCGCCCCGCCUGGGGAGUACGGCCGCAAGGCUAAAACUCAAAGGAAUUGACGGGGGCCCGCACAAGCGGCGGAGCAUGCGGAUUAAUUCGAUGCAACGCGAAGAACCUUACCAAGGCUUGACAUACGCCGGAAACAUCCAGAGAUGGGUGCCCCGCAAGGUCGGUGUACAGGUGGUGCAUGGUU
Molecule: ribosomal RNA, 257 nt
Filed under: uncultured bacterium
Lineage: Bacteria
Description: partial 16S ribosomal RNA
Rfam family: Bacterial small subunit ribosomal RNA
Source: RNAcentral